CUGGAGUUAGCAAGGACUAGAAAGAUUUCCGUUGCUAAUCGAUUAUGAAUAGUUCACUCAAAGAAGAAAGUUCCCUCAUAUGUUACUCAUUCCUGUAUAUUGUUUUCUUUUCAGUUAAACUCAACAGAAGACAUUUUGGGCUAACAGUUGCUGCUGGACCUUCUGCUCCCCCUGGGCCCGUGUCGACACCUGCAGCUGUCAUUUUUGCAGUCCCCACGGCUACCGCGGCCCUCUCGCUGGCACGCUCCACCCCCCACCGCACGCACCUCCUUCACCAAUGGGCCUCUUUGUAGGGUCUAUGUCUGAAGAGCCCGAGCCUGCUGUUACAACAGAUGAAAUGGUCACAAAGAACCGCAGCACCCCUUUCUGAAGAACAUUUGAGGAUUAAAGGCUAAAUAUGCUUUGGACUGGAGUCUAGUACAUCUGCAGGUAUGAAGCUCUAGUUUCUGCAGCUGCUGCCCGACUGAAUUCCCUGUUGGAAAUCCUUUGCUUGGAAAUGUUUGGUUUUCCUGUGCUUCAGUGCCUCAGUGUGAUCACUGUGCAGACUGAACUGAAGACAAUGACUUUGACAAGAAGAGACCAUAGGCAGCAGGGGUUAAAUAAAACAACAAUGCCCUGCUUCUUUAAAGAUGUUAUGUCAGGUGGUGGCUUACAGUACAGUAUAGCAUAGGAAAUUAUGGUAUAGUAUGAUUUGGUGUUGUGUGGAUUCAUUUUAGCAUAGUUUGGUGUAGUAUAGUAUGGUGGUGUAUAGUGCUGUGUAGUAUAGUAUUUUAUGGCCUAGUCUAGUGCAGUAUGGCAUAGCAUAGAAAAGGACAGCAUAGCAUAUCAUAGCACAGUAUAGUAUAAGAUAAUAGAACAGUACAAUGCAGUACAAUAUAGCAUAGUAUAGUGAAGCACUCUACACUAUAGGAUGGUAUAGUAAAGACUGCUUCACCUGUAACCACUGGUCCAGAAGCACUUCCGAUUUUAUACAUUUAUUAUUUGGAUUAUUUUAAAUAUUACAUGUAUAAUUAAAGAGAGAAAACAGUUAUACAUAUUCUGUAGGUUGUAUGUUGUUCAAACGUAUGUGUAGUAAAACGGGAAGCUCUCCUGGGCCACCCUUAAACCAAUGUUGGUUACGUCAUCCGAAGUUACCUAUGGUACUGUACAGUAUACUAUAGUAUCACAAUUUGUUUAUAUUAAAGAAUUUGUUAUCUGUUGUAA
Long non-coding RNA from Triplophysa dalaica, 1203 nucleotides. RefSeq lists it as uncharacterized. The transcript has 3 exons. The record is from RefSeq and is a predicted model, not a curated record. NCBI's taxonomy places the organism in Eukaryota, Metazoa, Chordata, Actinopteri, Cypriniformes, Nemacheilidae.